This 253-nucleotide ribosomal RNA is filed under the name uncultured bacterium. Its description in RNAcentral is "partial 16S ribosomal RNA". It matches the Rfam family "Bacterial small subunit ribosomal RNA", at positions 524 to 776 of the family's 1533-position model. The record is from RNAcentral.
UACAGGGGGUGCAAACGUUGCUCGGAAUCAUUGGGCGUAAAGCGCACGUAGGCGGUUCGUUAUGUCGGAUGUGAAAGCCCUUGGCUUAACCGAGGAAGUGCAUCCGAAACUGGCGAGCUAGAGUACGAAAGAGGAUCGCGGAAUUCCCGGUGUAGAGGUGAAAUUCGUAGAUAUCGGGAGGAACACCGGUGGCGAAGGCGCCGAUCUGGGUCGAUACUGACGCUGAGGUGCGAAAGCGUGGGGAGCAAACAGG